RNAcentral lists this unclassified non-coding RNA (336 nucleotides) under soil metagenome. RNAcentral describes it as "partial contains 5.8S ribosomal RNA, internal transcribed spacer 2, and large subunit ribosomal RNA". The stretch from base 1 to 120 matches the Rfam family "5.8S ribosomal RNA", at positions 35 to 154 of the family's 154-position model. The record is from RNAcentral.
GAUGAAGAACGUAGUGAAAUGCGAUAAGUAGUGUGAAUUGCAGAAUUCAGUGAAUCAUCGAAUCUUUGAACGCACAUUGCGCCCCUUGGUAUUCCAUGGGGCAUGCCUGUUCGAGCGUCAUUUGUACCUUCAAGCUUUGCUUGGUGUUGGGUGUUUGUCUCGCCUUUGCGUGUAGACUCGCCUUAAAAUAAUUGGCAGCCGGCGUAUUGAUUUCGGAGCGCAGUACAUCUCGCGCUUUGCACUCAUAACGACAGCGUCCAAAAGUACAUUUUACACUCUUGACCUCGGAUCAGGUAGGGAUACCCGAUGAACUUAAGCAUAUCAAUAAGCGGAGGA